UGCCUUCCCGCCGCCGCUCAGCGUUUCCAUGGAGACCUUCUCUUAAUGAACCAACGGACAGGGCCCCUCGGCGGGAACAAUACCCGGCCGAGCAGCGAGCAGCGGCGUAAAGAGCGGGAGCAGAGCGGACCGGGAGGCGGCAGCAAGGAGUGCGGCCGCCAGAUGGAGAAAUCAGUUAUUCUGUUGCUCUGCUUACAAUAUGUUGUUAAGAUCUCAAAAAGUUUCUGUUAUGUGCCAAGGAAUAAUCGAACAACAGCAGUUCUUAUUAAAUGGGAUGAAUUUCCUAAGGGAGGAAGUCCUGAAUUUUAUUUUUUAAAAUACCAACUUGUUAAUAAUUUUGCUGGAAAAAAUAUCAAAAGUAUUCUUGCAAACCCACAAGACCUUUCAAAAUCAAUAACACUAGAGGAAAAUGAAGACUAUCACAUCAUUCUACAGUCCAUAAAAUAUGGACAAAUUUUAAGUGAAAAGUCAUUUGAAACCCGUGGUUUCUCAACUAACAAUAUUAAAACAGUAGCAACAAGCACAAGUGUUUCUUUUAACUGGAGUGUGCUGUCUUCCAAUGACAUUUCAGUGUCAAUAUCUCUCAAUAAUUCUUCACAAAUUAUGCAAAAUAAUGUUACAGUUUAUGAGUGGGAUAAUUUAAAACCUGGAACCUUAUAUGCUUUUGAAUUUGAAUUUAAACAGUUGUAUUUGGAUUUUAUAAAUAUAUUUCAGAGACUGGAUGUUCUAGUAGAAACAGGUAU
This 743-nucleotide long non-coding RNA is filed under the name Ursus americanus (American black bear). RNAcentral describes it as "lncRNA (ENSUAMG00000010554.1)". The record is from RNAcentral. Lineage: Eukaryota; Metazoa; Chordata; Mammalia; Carnivora; Ursidae.